CUAAGAAUAUUCCGCAAUGGACGAAAGUCUGACGGAGCGACGCCGCGUGGAUGAAGAAGGCCGAAAGGUUGUAAAAUCCUUUUGCUGGGGAAGAAUAAGGUGGGGAGGAAAUGCCCUAUCGAUGACAUGAACCGGUGAAUAAGCCCCGGCUAACUACGUGCCAGCAGCCGCGGUAACACGUAGGGGGCGAGCGUUGUUCGGAAUUAUUGGGCGUAAAGGGCAUGUAGGCGGUUGGGAAAGCCCGACGUGAAAUCCUGCAGCUUAACUGUAGAAUUGCGUUGGGAACUAUCCGACUAGAAUCGUGGAGGGGGAGCUAGAAUUCCAGGUGUAGGGGUGAAAUCUGUAGAUAUCUGGAAGAAUACCGGUGGCGAAGGCGAGCUCCUGGCCAAUGAUUGACGCUGAGGUGCGAAAGCGUGGGGAUCAAACAGG
RNAcentral lists this ribosomal RNA (429 nucleotides) under uncultured Treponema sp. RNAcentral's name for it is "bacterial SSU rRNA". It matches the Rfam family "Bacterial small subunit ribosomal RNA", at positions 355 to 776 of the family's 1533-position model. The record is from RNAcentral. Lineage: Bacteria; Pseudomonadati; Spirochaetota; Spirochaetia; Treponematales; Treponemataceae.